UCCAACUCAAGUCUAAAUAUGUGAAGCUUCUAAAUAUGAAAACUUAAAACAACUAAAAGAGUUUAUUAAUAGAAUUACCUAAAGUGAUGGUUGAGACAACGAGCCCAGCUGAUUGUACAGCUAUGGGUCCCAAAGAAUCUCUAUGACUGUAUCGUGGACAGCAUCUUGGAAACUUUAAGGUCACUAGCUCAGAGCCUCUGCAUGACCUCCUCCACGUGCGCAUUGCUCC
RNAcentral lists this long non-coding RNA (229 nucleotides) under Elaeis guineensis (African oil palm). RNAcentral's name for it is "long non-coding RNA (EGUI_LNC030468)". The record is from RNAcentral. Lineage: Eukaryota; Viridiplantae; Streptophyta; Magnoliopsida; Arecales; Arecaceae.